UGUGCCUACGGACGCAGCAGUGGGGAAUAUUGCACAAUGGGGGGAACCCUGAUGCAGCAAUGCCGCGUGAAAGAUGAAGGUUUUCGGAUUGUAAACUUCUUUUGUACGGGACGAAGAAAGUGACGGUACCGUAAGAAUAAGCCACGGCUAACUACGUGCCAGCAGCCGCGGUAAUACGUAGGUGGCAAGCGUUAUCCGGAUUUGCUGGGUGUAAAGGGCGAGUAGGCGGGAUUGCAGGUCAGAUGUGGAAACUAUGGGCUCAACCGAUAGAGUGCAUUUGAAACUGCAGUUCUUGAGUGAUGGAG
This 305-nucleotide ribosomal RNA is filed under the name uncultured bacterium. Its description in RNAcentral is "bacterial SSU rRNA". It matches the Rfam family "Bacterial small subunit ribosomal RNA", at positions 334 to 654 of the family's 1533-position model. The record is from RNAcentral.